RNAcentral lists this ribosomal RNA (301 nucleotides) under uncultured bacterium. RNAcentral's name for it is "partial 16S ribosomal RNA". It matches the Rfam family "Bacterial small subunit ribosomal RNA", at positions 509 to 807 of the family's 1533-position model. The record is from RNAcentral.
CAGUCUCCGCGGUAAUACAGAGGGUGCGAGCGUUAAUCGGAUUUACUGGGCGUAAAGCGUGCGUAGGCGGCUUCUUAAGUCGGAUGUGAAAUCCCUGAGCUUAACUUAGGAAUUGCAUUCGAUACUGGGAAGCUAGAGUAUGGGAGAGGAUGGUAGAAUUCCAGGUGUAGCGGUAAAAUGCGUAGAGAUCUGGAGGAAUACCGAUGGCGAAGGCAGCCAUCUGGCCUAAUACUGACGCUGAGGUACGAAAGCAUGGGGAGCAAACAGGAUUAGAUACCCCCGUAGUCCCUGUCUCUUAUAC